CAGCAGGCGCGAAAACUUUACAAUGCCGGCAACGGCGAUAAGGGAACCUCGAGUGCCAGGUUACAAAUCUGGCUGUCGUGAUGCCUAAAAAGCAUUGCAUAGCAAGGGCCGGGCAAAACCGGUGCCAGCCGCCGCGGUAACACCGGCGGCUCGAGUGGUAACCGUUAUUAUUGGGUCUAAAGGGUCUGUAGCCGGCCGGGUAAGUCUCUUGGGAAAUCUGGCAGCUUAACUGUCAGGCUUUCAGGAAAUACUGCCUGGCUCGAGGCCGGAAGAGGUGAGAGGUACUUCAGGGGUAGGGGUGAAAUCUUGUAAUCCUUGAAGGACCACCAGUGGCGAAGGCGUCUCACCAAAACGGACCUGACGGCAAGGGACAAAAGCUAGGGGCACAAACCGAAUUAAAUACCCGGGUAGUCCUAGCCGUAAACGAUACUCGCUAGGUGUCGGCCACGGUGCGACCGUGGUCGGUGCCGUAGGGAAGCCGUGAAGCGAGCCACCUGGGAAGUACGGCCGCAAGGCUGAAACUUAAAGGAAUUGGCGGGGGAGCAC
Molecule: ribosomal RNA, 546 nt
Filed under: uncultured archaeon
Lineage: Archaea
Description: bacterial SSU rRNA
Rfam family: Archaeal small subunit ribosomal RNA
Source: RNAcentral